This 117-nucleotide ribosomal RNA is filed under the name Danio rerio (zebrafish). The record is from RNAcentral. Lineage: Eukaryota; Metazoa; Chordata; Actinopteri; Cypriniformes; Danionidae.
GAGCACAGCCAUAUCACCCUGUAGAUCAAGACCAGUGGCUCACUAAAACUAAGCGAAGCUGAGCCUGGUUAGUACCUGGAUGGGAGACCAUAUGGAAAAACUAGGUUGCUGUUGGAC